RNAcentral lists this non-coding RNA (21 nucleotides) under Caenorhabditis elegans. The record is from RNAcentral. Lineage: Eukaryota; Metazoa; Nematoda; Chromadorea; Rhabditida; Rhabditidae.
UGUCGAAUCGCCUUCUGUAAA